GAUCCUGGCUCAGGAUGAACGCUAGCUACAGGCUUAACACAUGCAAGUCGAGGGGCAUCAGGGUGUAGCAAUACACCGCUGGCGACCGGCGCACGGGUGAGUAACGCGUAUCCAACCUGCCCACCACUUGGGGAUAACCUUGCGAAAGUAAGACUAAUACCCAAUGAUAUCUCUAGAAGACAUCUGAAAGAGAUUAAAGAUUCAUCGGUGAUGGAUGGGGAUGCGU
This 226-nucleotide ribosomal RNA is filed under the name uncultured bacterium. RNAcentral's name for it is "partial 16S ribosomal RNA". It matches the Rfam family "Bacterial small subunit ribosomal RNA", at positions 15 to 236 of the family's 1533-position model. The record is from RNAcentral.